GUAGCAACACCAGUCACAUUAGGUCUUUAGUUUGAAUCAGUCAAUAGGAUAAAUGUUGAUAGUUUAGGUUUAUCGAGUCCUUAACUUUUUUCUUUUCUUUUAGUGAUUGUUGUGAAAUUGUGCAACAAGUAGUGGAAAAAGUUUUUAGUGUGUAUGCCUAUAAAAGGAAUAAAUAAAGAAAGUAUCAAUAGUAGUUUUUCUCUCUAU
RNAcentral lists this long non-coding RNA (207 nucleotides) under Capsicum annuum. RNAcentral describes it as "long non-coding RNA (CANN_LNC017655)". Lineage: Eukaryota; Viridiplantae; Streptophyta; Magnoliopsida; Solanales; Solanaceae. The record is from RNAcentral.